Molecule: ribosomal RNA, 292 nt
Filed under: uncultured bacterium
Lineage: Bacteria
Description: partial 16S ribosomal RNA
Rfam family: Bacterial small subunit ribosomal RNA
Source: RNAcentral
GUGCCAGCCGCCGCGGUAAGACGAACCGAGCGAACGUUGUUCGGAAUCACUGGGCUUAAAGGGUGCGUAGGCGGGCUGCCAAGUUUGGGGUGAAAUCCUCCGGCUCAACCGGGGAAGUGCCUUGAAUACUGGCGGUCUGGAGGGAGGUAGGGGCGUGCGGAACUAACGGUGGAGCGGUGAAAUGCGUUGAUAUCGUUAGGAACUCCGGUGGCGAAGGCGGCACGCUGGACCUCUUCUGACGCUGAGGCACGAAAGCCAGGGGAGCGAACGGGAUUAGAAACCCUCGUAGUCC